GUCCUUAUUAUGGCCACCAGACAGGCAGAAUCCCCUUUCUCCAAGUUGGCCCAUCAGCAGGAAAGGUUCAGGCAACCCGUGUCCCAAAGCAAGAAGGCAUGCUCCAGGCCCUUUCUCUGCACCCCCACCCCAGACCAGGCAGAGGUGGUCCCUUCUCUACACACACACACACCCCAGCAGGUGGUCCCUUCUCUCCACCCCACGUGGGGCAGAGAUAACCUCUUCUGGAGAGAGCAGGUGGCUCGAGUGCAGUUCUGCGAUUUUAUUUUUCCUGGGAUACUCAAGGGGAUGUGGGAACAGCCACAGGUGUGGUGAGGGAAAGGCCCCGUCUCCCCUCCCCAGCCGCUGGGAAAGGGGAGAGGCCCAGGGGCCCUGGUCCUGGGUUGGUCCAGCCACUGUGCUCCCUGGGUCCUGUAGGCAGAGGACUGAGGGUGGAGCCCUGGGAGGAUGGGGUGGGCUCCUAGGCGGGGUUGGGGAUUCUUCAUAAAAAGCCACGGAGCUUGAUCCCCCACGAAGCCCAGCCCCGCGGGGUUGGGGGGACGCAGAGCCCAGAUGGAGGACCCGGCCCGGCCUGGCCCGUGGGGGAGAAUAAUGGCAGAGAUGGUGCCCGUGGGGAGAAGGUGGGGACGAAGCGUCGGACCAGGAAGGUGGGCUUCCAGGUGAGGGGCACGGGGCGGAGAGGCACGGCCCCUAGCCCAGCCCGGGCGCCUUCGCGUGGGGUCAGGACGGUAAAAAACCCACGAGAGUGCGACGGGCAGGGAGGGGCCGGGCGUGCGGUGCCGGCGGGGCGGGCGCACGGGGCUGCCCGCGUUCACAGUGACCUCGACGCUGGGUGUACAGUACGGGUAGAAAACCGCAGGCCCGGGCCGGGCCUGGCGGGCCGGGCGGGCCGGGCGGGUCACAGCCUGGUCUGGGCCUCGGGGAUGUAGAUCUCGAUGCUGUCGGCACUCUCGGUGGCCGAGCUGUGGCGGAAGGAGGCGGCGCGCUUUGCCGCCAGAAGCCGCUUGCGCGCUUCCUGCCGCUGCCUGUCCACGGAAUCCAGGGAGCGCUCCUUCACCGGCACGCCCCGGCCCCGCGAGGGCUUCUUUGGUAUCGGCGGAGGGACCUUCUUCUCCUCCUGUCGGGAGAGCGCGGUGGUGAGCUCAGCGCCGGAACCACCCCCAGCAUCCGGGUUCGCGCCCCC
This 1183-nucleotide long non-coding RNA is filed under the name Heterocephalus glaber (naked mole-rat). Its description in RNAcentral is "lncRNA (ENSHGLG00000043851.1)". Lineage: Eukaryota; Metazoa; Chordata; Mammalia; Rodentia; Bathyergidae. The record is from RNAcentral.